UACAGAGGUCUCAAGCGUUGUUCGGAUUCAUUGGGCGUAAAGGGUGCGUAGGCGGCGCGGUAAGUCGGGUGUGAAAUCUCGGAGCUUAACUCCGAAACUGCAUUCGAUACUGCCGUGCUUGAGGACUGGAGAGGAGACUGGAAUUUACGGUGUAGCGGUGAAAUGCGUAGAUAUCGUAAGGAAGACCAGUGGCGAAGGCGGGUCUCUGGACAGUUCCUGACGCUGAGGCACGAAGGCUAGGGGAGCAAACGGG
RNAcentral lists this ribosomal RNA (253 nucleotides) under uncultured bacterium. RNAcentral's name for it is "partial 16S ribosomal RNA". It matches the Rfam family "Bacterial small subunit ribosomal RNA", at positions 524 to 776 of the family's 1533-position model. The record is from RNAcentral.